CUUGAUCAACAUGGUGAAAACUGUUUCAACUGAAAAUACAAAAAUUAACCAGGUGUGGUGUCGCGUGCCUGUAAUCCCAGCUACUUGGGAGCCUGAGGCAGGAGAAUCACUUGAACCUGGGAGGUGGAGGCUGCUGUGAGCCGAGAUCAUGCCACUGCACUCCAGCCUGGGUGACAGAGUGAGACUCCAUCUCAAAACUAAGAAUAAUAAUAUUUCUUUUAGACUAAUUGUGUAUCUAGG
Molecule: long non-coding RNA, 240 nt
Filed under: Homo sapiens (human)
Lineage: Eukaryota; Metazoa; Chordata; Mammalia; Primates; Hominidae
Description: LHRI_LNC1672.1
Source: RNAcentral